Molecule: ribosomal RNA, 495 nt
Filed under: uncultured bacterium
Lineage: Bacteria
Description: partial 16S ribosomal RNA
Rfam family: Bacterial small subunit ribosomal RNA
Source: RNAcentral
GACGAACGCUGGCGGCGUGCCUAAUAUAUGCAAGUAGAACGCUGAAGGAGGAGCUUGCUUCUCUGGAUGAGUUGCGAACGGGUGAGUAACGCGUAGGUAACCUGCCUGGUAGCGGGGGAUAACUAUUGGAAACGAUAGCUAAUACCGCAUAAGAGUAGAUGUUGCAUGACAUUUGCUUAAAAGGUGCAAUUGCAUCACUACCAGAUGGACCUGCGUUGUAUUAGCUAGUUGGUGAGGUAACGGCUCACCAAGGCGACGAUACAUAGCCGACCUGAGAGGGUGAUCGGCCACACUGGGACUGAGACACGGCCCAGACUCCUACGGGAGGCAGCAGUAGGGAAUCUUCGGCAAUGGACGGAAGUCUGACCGAGCAACGCCGCGUGAGUGAAGAAGGUUUUCGGAUCGUAAAGCUCUGUUGUAAGAGAAGAACGAGUGUGAGAGUGGAAAGUUCACACUGUGACGGUAUCUUACCAGAAAGGGACGGCUAACUACGUG